CAGUCGCCGCGGGAAUACGAAGGGGGCUAGCGUUGUUCGGAUUUACUGGGCGUAAAGGGCGCGUAGGCGGGCGAAUAAGUCAGGGGUGAAAUCCCAAGGCUCAACCUUGGAACUGCCUUUGAUACUGUUUGUCUUGAGUUCUAGAGAGGUAAGUGGAACUGCGAGUGUAGAGGUGAAAUUCGUAGAUAUUCGGAAGAACACCAGUGGCGAAGGCGGCUCACUGGCUCAUUCUAGACGCUGAGGUGCGAAAGCGUGGGGAGCAAACAGGAUUAGAUACCCCAGUAGUCCCUGUCUCUUAUAC
This 301-nucleotide ribosomal RNA is filed under the name uncultured bacterium. RNAcentral's name for it is "partial 16S ribosomal RNA". It matches the Rfam family "Bacterial small subunit ribosomal RNA", at positions 509 to 807 of the family's 1533-position model. The record is from RNAcentral.